GAUGAACGCUGGCGGCGUGCCUAACACAUGCAAGUCGAACGGAGUCCAGCCUUAGAGCCCUUCGGGUCAAAGAGGGGAAGACUGAGUGGCGGACGGGUGAGUAACACGUGGGCAACCUGGCUCAUAGAGGGGGAUAACAGAGAGAAAUUUCUGCUAAUACCGCAUAAGCACACACUGCCGCAUGGCAGAGUGUGAAAAGAGAAUCGCUAUGAGAUGGACCCGCGUCUGAUUAGCCAGUUGGCAGGGUAAGAGCCUACCAAAGCGACGAUCAGUAGCCGAUUUGAGAGGAUGAACGGCCACAUUGGGAGUGAGACACGGCCCAAACUCCUACGGGAGGCAGCAGUGGGGGAUAUUGCACAAUGGGGGGAACCCUGAUGCAGCGACGCCGCGUGAGUGAAGAAGUAUUUCGGUAUGUAAAGCUCUAUCAGCAGGGAAGAUAAUGACAGUACCUGAAUAAGAAGCCCCGGCUAACUACGUG
RNAcentral lists this ribosomal RNA (478 nucleotides) under uncultured bacterium. RNAcentral describes it as "partial 16S ribosomal RNA". It matches the Rfam family "Bacterial small subunit ribosomal RNA", at positions 28 to 507 of the family's 1533-position model. The record is from RNAcentral.